RNAcentral lists this ribosomal RNA (253 nucleotides) under uncultured bacterium. RNAcentral's name for it is "partial 16S ribosomal RNA". It matches the Rfam family "Bacterial small subunit ribosomal RNA", at positions 524 to 776 of the family's 1533-position model. The record is from RNAcentral.
UACGAAGGGUGCAAGCGUUACUCGGAAUUACUGGGCGUAAAGCGUGCGUAGGUGGUUUGUUAAGUCUGUUGUGAAAGCCCCGGGCUCAACCUGGGAAUGGCAAUGGAUACUGGCAGGCUAGAGUGCGGUAGAGGGUAGUGGAAUUCCCGGUGUAGCGGUGAAAUGCGUAGAGAUCGGGAGGAACACCAGUGGCGAAGGCGGCUACCUGGACCAGCACUGACACUGAGGCACGAAAGCGUGGGAAGCAAACAGG